GGUAAUGUGGCCGAGGAAUAGGCGGCGGNCUGUAAAGCCGCCCACAGGGAAAACCCUCAUUAC
This 63-nucleotide transfer RNA is filed under the name Pachydactylus mariquensis (Ceres thick-toed gecko). RNAcentral describes it as "tRNA-Tyr". Lineage: Eukaryota; Metazoa; Chordata; Lepidosauria; Squamata; Gekkonidae. The record is from RNAcentral.